AGUCUUAUCAUCAGAGUGGAGCCUGGUAACCACGACCUCCCCGCCAGGUCCUGUGUGUUGCUAGCUGGAGAAGGGUAGUUGAAAACUCAGACCAAGCACAGUGUUUAUAUCGGUCAAAACUAGAAAACUAUGUCCGGGCGCGGCCGAGGCUGGAGGAUCCCUUCAGGCCAAGAGCAACCUAGCAAUAUGGCGCGACCGGAUCUCUGUAGUCCUACCUCACUCAACCCCCAGCUACUUGAACCCCAAGGUUGAAGGCUCCAAUGAGCUAUGAUCCCACCACAGCAUUGCAGCCUGCCAGACUGAGUUUCACACUUGUUGUUCAGGCUGGAGUUGCAAUCUCGGCUCACCACAACCUCUGCCUCCCGGAUUCAAGAGAUUCUCCUGCCUCAGCCUCCCAAGUAGCUGGGACUACAGGUGUGCAUCCCCUGCCCAGCUGGAGUUUUGCUCUUGUCGCCCAUGCUGGAGUGUGAUCGUGGCUCACUGCAAUCUCUGCCUCCCAGGUUCAAGCG
RNAcentral lists this long non-coding RNA (509 nucleotides) under Pan troglodytes (chimpanzee). Its description in RNAcentral is "lincRNA". Lineage: Eukaryota; Metazoa; Chordata; Mammalia; Primates; Hominidae. The record is from RNAcentral.